This 450-nucleotide ribosomal RNA is filed under the name uncultured bacterium. RNAcentral describes it as "partial 16S ribosomal RNA". It matches the Rfam family "Bacterial small subunit ribosomal RNA", at positions 354 to 796 of the family's 1533-position model. The record is from RNAcentral.
GUGGGGAAUUUUGGACAAUGGGCGAAAGCCUGAUCCAGCCAUGCCGCGUGCAGGAUGAAGGCCUUCGGGUUGUAAACUGCUUUUGUACGGAACGAAACGGCUCUUUCUAAUAAAGAGGGCUAAUGACGGUACCGUAAGAAUAAGCACCGGCUAACUACGUGCCAGCAGCCGCGGUAAUACGUAGGGUGCGAGCGUUAAUCGGAAUUACUGGGCGUAAAGCGUGCGCAGGCGGUGAUGUAAGACAGAUGUGAAAUCCCCGGGCUCAACCUGGGAACUGCAUUUGUGACUGCAUCGCUGGAGUGCGGCAGAGGGGGAUGGAAUUCCGCGUGUAGCAGUGAAAUGCGUAGAUAUGCGGAGGAACACCGAUGGCGAAGGCAAUCCCCUGGGCCUGCACUGACGCUCAUGCACGAAAGCGUGGGGAGCAAACAGGAUUAGAAACCCGGGUAGUCC